GGACGUGUGUCCGAAAGACAGGACUUACCUUGAUAGGGUAAUAUAUAGAGGUUCAAACCCCCUCACUUCCU
This 71-nucleotide transfer RNA is filed under the name Oedipina poelzi (quarry worm salamander). RNAcentral describes it as "tRNA-Ile". It matches the Rfam family "tRNA". Rfam says of the family: Transfer RNA (tRNA) molecules are approximately 80 nucleotides in length. Their secondary structure includes four short double-helical elements and three loops (D, anti-codon, and T loops). The record is from RNAcentral. Lineage: Eukaryota; Metazoa; Chordata; Amphibia; Caudata; Plethodontidae.